This 497-nucleotide ribosomal RNA is filed under the name uncultured bacterium. RNAcentral's name for it is "partial 16S ribosomal RNA". It matches the Rfam family "Bacterial small subunit ribosomal RNA", at positions 28 to 507 of the family's 1533-position model. The record is from RNAcentral.
GACGAACGCUGGCGGCGUGCCUAAUACAUGCAAGUAGAACGCUGAAGAGAGGAGCUUACUCUUCUUGGAUGAGUUGCGAACGGGUGAGUAACGCGUAGGUAACCUGCCUUGUAGCGGGGGAUAACUAUUGGAAACGAUAGCUAAUACCGCAUAACAAUGGAUGACACAUGUCAUUUAUUUGAAAGGGGCAAUUGCUCCACUACAAGAUGGACCUGCGUUGUAUUAGCUAGUAGGUGAGGUAAUGGCUCACCUAGGCGACGAUACAUAGCCGACCUGAGAGGGUGAUCGGCCACACUGGGACUGAGACACGGCCCAGACUCCUACGGGAGGCAGCAGUAGGGAAUCUUCGGCAAUAGGGGCAACCCUGACCGAGCAACGCCGCGUGAGUGAAGAAGGUUGUCGGAUCGUAAAGCUCUGUUGUAAGUCAAGAACGGGUGUGAGAGUGGAAAGUUCACACUGUGACGGUAGCUUACCAGAAAGGGACGGCUAACUACGUG